CCCGCUGAACUUAAGCAUAUCAGUAAGCGGAGGAAAAGAAACUAACAAGGAUUCCCCUAGUAGCGGCGAGCGAAGAGGGAGUAGCCCAUAACCGAAUCCCAUGUCGUUAAGACAUUGGGAAAUGUGGUGUUGGGGUGGUUUCUUGCUGUGUCUUUGGCAGUUCAAAGUCCGCGUGAUUGUGGCUCAUGGCCCAAGGAGGGUGUAAGGCCCGUGUGGACUGUCGGAGUGCGGCUCGAAGCUACUCAAGAGUCGGGUUGUUUGGGAAUGCAGCCCUAAUCGGGUGGUAAACUCCAUCCAAGGCUACAUAUAACACGAGUCCGAUAGCGAACAAGUACCGUGAGGGAAAGUUGAAAAGGACUUUGAAGAGAGAGUUCAAUAGUGCGUGAAACCGCUCAAAGGUAAUCGGGUGGAGCUGAAGUUGACUCGGUGAUUGAUGUCUUCUGGCAUGUGCUUCCUGUGUUAGACUUGUUUAUUGAGCGAUUCACAGUGCAAGUGGGUAUUGCCGGUUGGCUGUUUUCACUGAGUUGUAACCACGAUCGGCGAUGCGUCGCGUCUGCUGUCACCGAGAAGGUAGCGAUGGCCCUUCGGGGUGAUCGUGUUAUAGACCUGAGGCGUGGACUGAUGCGUUGCUGUGCUUGGCGAGACAGGCCCCUCAGUUGGGCGCGCAUAGGUGUUUGCUUUGAUGCCCUGGGCGAGGUACUCCUUUGGAGUGUCUUGCUGAGUGGUGUCGAUGGUGGACGCCUCCCUGCAGUCACUGUUCUCAACAAUCUGUGGUGUCCAGUAGGUCAUCCACCUGACCCGUCUUGAAACACGG
Molecule: ribosomal RNA, 814 nt
Filed under: uncultured fungus
Lineage: Eukaryota; Fungi
Description: eukaryotic LSU rRNA
Rfam family: Eukaryotic large subunit ribosomal RNA
Source: RNAcentral